CGGGUUGUAAAGCUCUUUCAGCCGGAAAGAAAUCGUGCAACCUAAUACGUUGCAUGGAUGACGGUACCGGAAGAAGAAGCACCGGCUAACUACGUGC
Molecule: ribosomal RNA, 97 nt
Filed under: uncultured bacterium
Lineage: Bacteria
Description: partial 16S ribosomal RNA
Source: RNAcentral